GACGAACGCUGGCGGCGUGCCUAAUACAUGCAAGUAGAACGCUGAAGGAGGAGCUUGCUUCUCUGGAUGAGUUGCGAACGGGUGAGUAACGCGUAGGUAACCUGCCUGGUAGCGGGGGAUAACUAUUGGAAACGAUAGCUAAUACCGCAUAAUAUUGACUAUUGCAUGAUAGUCAGUUGAAAGGUGCAACUGCUCCACUACCAGAUGGACCUGCGUUGUAUUAGCUAGUUGGUGGGGUAACGGCUCACCAAGGCGACGAUUCAUAGCCGAACUGAGAGGGUGGUCGGCCACACUGGGACUGAGACACGGCCAAGGCUCCUACGGGAGGCAGCAGUAGGGAAUCUUCGGGAAUGGACGGAAGUCUGACCGAGCAACGCCGGGGGAGGGAAGAAGGUUUUCGGAUCGUAAAGCUCUGGUGUAAGAGAAGAACGAGUGUGAGAGUGGAAAGCUCACACUGUGACGGUAUCGUACCAGAAAGAGACGGCUAACUACGUG
Molecule: ribosomal RNA, 495 nt
Filed under: uncultured bacterium
Lineage: Bacteria
Description: partial 16S ribosomal RNA
Rfam family: Bacterial small subunit ribosomal RNA
Source: RNAcentral